RNAcentral lists this ribosomal RNA (497 nucleotides) under uncultured bacterium. RNAcentral's name for it is "partial 16S ribosomal RNA". It matches the Rfam family "Bacterial small subunit ribosomal RNA", at positions 28 to 507 of the family's 1533-position model. The record is from RNAcentral.
GAUGAACGCUGGCGGCGUGCCUAAUACAUGCAAGUCGAGCGAACAGACGAGGAGCUUGCUCCUCUGACGUUAGCGGCGGACGGGUGAGUAACACGUGGAUAACCUACCUAUAAGACUGGGAUAACUUCGGGAAACCGGAGCUAAUACCGGAUAAUAUAUUGAACCGCAUGGUUCAAUAGUGAAAGACGGUUUUGCUGUCAAUUAUAGAUGGAUCCGCGCCGCAUUAGCGAGUUGGUAAGGUAACGGCUUACCAAGGCCACGAUGCGUAGCCGACCUGAGAGGAUGAUCGGCCAAACUGGGACUGAGACACGGUCCCGACUCCUACGCGAGGCAGCAGUGGCGAAUCUUCCGCAAAGGGCGCAAGCCUGACGGAGCACCGCCGCGUGAGUGAUGAAGGUCUUCCGAUCGUAAACCUCUGUUAUUAGGGAAGAACAAAUGUGGAAGUAACUAUGCACAUCUUGACGGUACCUAAUCAGAAAGCCCCGGCUAACUUCGUG